RNAcentral lists this long non-coding RNA (202 nucleotides) under Elaeis guineensis (African oil palm). RNAcentral's name for it is "long non-coding RNA (EGUI_LNC051745)". The record is from RNAcentral. Lineage: Eukaryota; Viridiplantae; Streptophyta; Magnoliopsida; Arecales; Arecaceae.
AGGAUCCGCCGCAGGGAGUGGAGCAGAAUCAUGGCCGUUAAUACGGUCUGUCAGGGAGUAAUGGAGCUGCGUAGGGUUCGCCGUAGGGAGUGGAGCAGUGUUGUCCGUUACUGUGGCCUGCCAGGGGGUCCAGAUUGGUCGGUCAAAGUUCGGUUAGAGUCGGUAGCGAGGUUCGGUGCUUGUAGAAGUUUGGACGAGGUCU